Molecule: long non-coding RNA, 3156 nt
Organism: Daucus carota subsp. sativus
Lineage: Eukaryota; Viridiplantae; Streptophyta; Magnoliopsida; Apiales; Apiaceae
Exons: 9
Source: RefSeq, a predicted model, not a curated record
GAAACCGUGAGCCAUUUUAUUCCACGUAGGCAUCUGUCAUAACUCCGUUACAAUAUCUGUUAACUAAGUGGCGACGCUGUGGGGAGAUGAAAAGCUGAAGACAUUCCUAUUUCUCAAGAGCAUUAUCAAUCUCUCACCACUCUAAAACCCUCCCCGUGGCCGCCGUCUCCAGCCACAUGAAACUCCCUACCACCGCCAGUAAGUUCAUCGAUAAAUACCCAUCUAUAUUUAUUCACAUCUUGUCUCUUAAACCUUUGUGACACCGAAAGACUUGCGAAGCUUUUGAUGUUGACGAAAGAAACAAGCUUCCUUUAUUUGUUGUUGAUAAGGUUAAAUUUGAUUUGGGCUUACCUUUUAGUUAUGCUUUUGCUUUACUUCCUGACUUUCCUGAUUAUUUUCAGAUUGUUAGGAUGGAGAAAUUUGGUUUUGGGUUGAAAUUGGUUUCCUAGAGAAGAUUUGCCCUUUCACUGUUAUGGAAUUGAGGAUGAGGGAGGAGAGAAGAAUACCUAUUAGCUUCUCGAUGGCUUUGCCCAGAGGGUUUAAUUUGCAAAAGAAGGUAAGGGAUUGGGUUACUGAGGGACGAAAUAUGCCAUAUAUUUCGCCUUAUGAGGGUGCUUUUUAUUUGGGCCAUGAUAAUUAUCAGGCAGAGAAAUGGACUGUGGCGGUUCUGCACGAGUUGCUUUAUUUUUGUGAGCUGAAGAAGACAAUGUAUGUUGUUUGGAGAUUAUUUGGGAUUCAGGAACAGAUUUAGGAAGGCUGUGGUACAUCAUUCUGGGAUUUUUCAUAUGUCCAAAAAGAUGAGAGCACAGACUGUUGGCUUUGAGGAAGUCAUAUCGAAUAGCUGCUUUCAUUGAUGUGCAUCAGCUGAUGGAAAUGCGGUAUUGCAUGUUAUAUUGAUCUCAUAAAUAAUAGAGAAGAGAAACCCAUUUCAAGUCAGACCUGACGGGCGGAAGAGCUUGUCUGUUUUUUCUGCGAAGGAAGGAAAAGGAAAUGAUAGUAUAAUCCAGGAACAAGACAUAGAGUCAGAACUGGAUUGCUCUUCCGUAUCCGAAGUUCAAAAUAGUGAUAAUGAGGUAGAUACGAUGAGUCAAAGAAAGGCCAUAUCAUUGAUUAAUAAGAAACGCUAUAUCAUUGAUUAUUAUGAUCUUCCGCAAGCUAUAAAGUCAUUUUAUUGGAUUAAGAGAGAAGAUUGAAUACAGGAUGUUAGGCCGAAUGUUAUAGAGCUGAAACUGGAGAGGAGAGGCAACUGGAAUUUUACAAGCAGAUCUUUCUUCACUUAGGUGUGGAGCAUGUACCCUGUUGCAGAGAGCAUUGCCAAGAAGACAGAUAUGUUGGUUAGCUCAAUUCUUUGGCAGCUUAAACUUAAUAAACCCUGUCAGUCGUUUGUUAUCCACUUAUUAGCGAAAUAGUUGAAGAUCCAAUGAAGGCUCCUGGAGCCAGCACUCAAGAGAAAUGCCGAUGAUGCCUGCCAAAAGUAUCUGAUUCAACUUGAUUAACAACCCUAUUCACAUUUACCAAUCAGCCCCUUAAUUGAGACGGUUAAACGACUCUAGCAAAUUGUUAGAGAUCCUCGGGCAGGGUAUGAACAGAGCUUGUCAGUCCUAAAACACGCAAAGACCGACAAGGAGGGUAUGAUAACAAAAACCUCUAUAAUGUUGGGACUUGGAGAAUCUGAGGAUGAGCUUAAGGAAGCCAUGGCUGACUUAAGGGGAUGUUGAUAUUUUAACUCUUGGGCAGUACUUAUAAAUAUUUAUGAAAAGAUUGGAUUCGAGAUUUGCAGAGCAGUUUAUAGGAGAGAAUAAAAGGCUUGUGUGGGACAAAAGAUAAGAUUAGAAGUACAACCUAUAACGAGGAGAGAUUGUUAAACGAAGAGCUUGUAAAAGAUGGUAAAAGAAGCUGAUGUACAGAGCAGAAGCUAAAAGUGAACAAGAAAGGGACAGAGAAAAAGAAUGCUUUUACUUCAGAUUUUUUCCUUUCUGCAAAUUACUCACUCUGACAGAGAAACUCUUUAUUUUUAUGUGAGUUUCCAUUUGCACUAUUAUGCUUGAUUUUACGGAAUGGCCGGAAAAUGAGGACCUUACUCUGCAUAGUUUGGCAAACAAAAUAUAUGAUAUUUAUGAAAAGAUUGGAUUCGAGAUUUGCAGAGCAGUUUAUAGGAGAGAAUAAAAGGCUUGUGUGGGACAAAAGAUAAGAUUAGAAGUACAACCUAUAACGAGGAGAGGUUGUUAAACGAAGAGCUUGUAAAAGAUGGUAAAAGAAGCUGAUGUACAGAGCAGAAGCUAAAAGUGAACAAGAAAGGGACAGAGAAAAAGAAUGCUUUUACUUCAGAUUUUUUCCUUUCUGCAAAUUACUCACUCUGGCAGAGAAACUCUUUAUUUUUAUGUGAGUUUCCAUUUGCACUAUUAUGCUUGAUUUUACGGAAUGGCCGGAAAAUGAGGACCUGCAAUUGCUCAUGUAUUGGAGUUUAGCAAGGUAACCAUGUCGAAAUCAUUGCCAAUGAUCAUGGUAGGAGGGUUACUCCUUAUUCUGUGGCUUUCUAUGAUACUGAGGUUCUAAUUGGUGAUGUUAUGGCUGGAAAAUGAGGACCUGCAAUUUGAAUUGAUCUGGGAACCAUGUAUUCAUGUAUUGAGUUUGGUAAGCCAGGGCCUUUUUUCCCAGUUGUGGACUCAUCACGAAGUUUUUGAAGCCCAAUAGGAUUCUGGAGUGGAUUUAUCUGGCUGGCUGUUAUGACUGUUGUUAUAUCAGUGUUAUCUGAGUAUGUUGUUGGCACUACUGAGGAAGCAUCAGCCUCCUGGGGAUUAUCUGUAAGCUUCAUCAUCAUCAUUCUAUUGCCAAUUGUCAGGAAUGCAACUGAACAUGCUGGAGCAGUAAUUUUUGCUUUCAACAACAAGCUGGAUAUAACUUGAUCAACUCGGUUGCCUGUCCUGUGCAUAUUAGCCCUUGAAUAAUUGCUGUGUUGUUAGCACCGAGACUCCUGGACCAACUUUGUUAAUAUACCUUAAAAGCUCUGUUGACAUUAUUAUACCACGUGUUUACAUAUGAGUUAUGAGAAAAUAUUAAUGAUCAAGCUGUUUUAUAACAGACAUCGAGGUCCGCUGUAAAUGGUGGCUGGAUUUUGAAAAGAAUUUCUAUGUUUAAGCUUAUUUUAGUUUGUCA